RNAcentral lists this ribosomal RNA (221 nucleotides) under Klebsiella aerogenes. Its description in RNAcentral is "partial 23S ribosomal RNA". It matches the Rfam family "Bacterial large subunit ribosomal RNA", at positions 1 to 230 of the family's 2925-position model. Lineage: Bacteria; Pseudomonadati; Pseudomonadota; Gammaproteobacteria; Enterobacterales; Enterobacteriaceae. RNAcentral also lists the same sequence under 5 other names. The record is from RNAcentral.
GACUAAGCGUACACGGUGGAUGCCCUGGCAGUCAGAGGCGAUGAAGGACGUGCUAAUCUGCGAAAAGCGUCGGUAAGGUGAUAUGAACCGUUACAGCCGGCGAUGUCCGAAUGGGGAAACCCAGUGUGAUUCGUCACACUAUCGUUAACUGAAUACAUAGGUUAACGAGGCGAACCGGGGGAACUGAAACAUCUAAGUACCCCGAGGAAAAGAAAUCAACC